GAAAGACCCCGUGAACCUUUACUAUAGCUUGACACUGAACAUUGAGCCUUGAUGUGUAGGAUAGGUGGGAGGCUUUGAAGCGUGGACGCCAGUCUGCGUGGAGCCGACCUUGAAAUACCACCCUUUAAUGUUUGAUGUUCUAACGUGGACCCGUGAUCCGGGUUGCGGACAGUGUCUGGUGGGUAGUUUGACUGGGGCGGUCUCCUCCUAAAGAGUAACGGAGGAGCACGAAGGUUGGCUAAUCCUGGUCGGACAUCAGGAGGUUAGUGCAAUGGCAUAAGCCAGCUUGACUGCGAGCGUGACGGCGCGAGCAGGUGCGAAAGCAGGUCAUAGUGAUCCGGUGGUUCUGAAUGGAAGGGCCAUCGCUCAACGGAUAAAAGGUACUCCGGGGAUAACAGGCUGAUACCGCCCAAGAGUUCAUAUCGACGGCGGUGUUUGGCACCUCGAUGUCGGCUCAUCACAUCCUGGGGCUGAAGUAGGUCCCAAGGGUAUGGCUGUUCGCCAUUUAAAGUGGUACGCGAGCUGGGUUUAGAACGUCGUGAGACAGUUCGGUCCCUAUCUGCCGUGGGCGCUGGAGAACUGAGGGGGGCUGCUCCUAGUACGAGAGGACCGGAGUGGACGCAUCACUGGUGUUCGGGUUGUCAUGCCAAUGGCACUGCCCGGUAGCUAAAUGCGGAAGAGAUAAGUGCUGAAAGCAUCUAAGCACGAAACUUGCCCCGAG
This 721-nucleotide ribosomal RNA is filed under the name Salmonella enterica. RNAcentral's name for it is "partial 23S ribosomal RNA". It matches the Rfam family "Bacterial large subunit ribosomal RNA", at positions 2083 to 2803 of the family's 2925-position model. The record is from RNAcentral. Lineage: Bacteria; Pseudomonadati; Pseudomonadota; Gammaproteobacteria; Enterobacterales; Enterobacteriaceae.